Molecule: ribosomal RNA, 494 nt
Filed under: uncultured bacterium
Lineage: Bacteria
Description: partial 16S ribosomal RNA
Rfam family: Bacterial small subunit ribosomal RNA
Source: RNAcentral
AUUGAACGCUGGCGGCAUGCUUUACACAUGCAAGUCGAGCGGCAGCGGGGAGGAGCUUGCUUCUCUGCCGGCGAGUGGCGAACGGGUGAGUAAUACAUCGGAACGUGUCGAGAAGAGGGGGAUAACCACCCGAAAGGGUGGCUAAUACCGCAUAAAUUCUGAGGAAGAAAGCUGGGGACCUAGGAAUAGGCCUAGCGCUUUUUGAGCGGCCGAUGUCGGAUUAGCUAGUUGGUGAGGUAAAGGCUCACCAAGGCGAAGAUCUGUAGCGGGUCUGAGAGGAUGAUCCGCCACACUGGGACUGAGACACGGCCCAGACUCCUACGGGAGGCAGCAGUGGGGAAUUUUGGACAAUGGGGGCAACCCUGAUCCAGCCAUGCCGCGUGUAUGAAGAAGGCCUUAGGGUUGUAAAGUACUUUUGUUAGGGAAGAAAAGUCAGCUGUGAAUAAUGGCUGAUACUGACGGUACCUAAAGAAUAAGCACCGGCUAACUACGUG